CUAAUUGUAUUUAUUUCACAUCACGAUUAUCACUGGAUUAAAGAUUUACUUAGCUACAUAAUUUGCGUGUUGCAACUGUAUAUGUUUAUACAAGGGUUGACGGCGUAGCAUCGCGGCUGCGGCGGGCAUUUGGUCUCGCACACCAUCGGAGCCUGUGGUCCACAGAAUACUGGCCCGGGGCUGGAAGGGCAACACAUCGGCGGCGGACAACCGUACUUCAUUUUACGAUUUUUUUAUAAUACUUGACAAUUUUGUUUAAUGUAGGAUUGGUUACCUAAAUGUGAAAGUUGUAAAUGCUUUCCACUGCUAUUUAUAAACUUUAUUACGCCUACGUGAUUUUGUGCGGUUUAUAGAUUUUUUCGAAAAAUCUCGGUGGCUGCAUAUUUCAGCCUACAUGUUAAGGACUAACCACACUUUUUUAGCUAUUCAUCACCUAUACAACCUGCCUUUUUAUCAAGGUAAAUGCAUACACGGCAGUUCGCGAAAUGAAUUAUUUAGUAUGCAGAUAGGAUUAUGUAAACUCUUUUUACACGCCACUUUUUCGAGCAGGAGUUAUUAUUUCGUAACUGACUAUUCUGAGAACAAAUGUCGGAACAAAACCUAGGAGGCAGUUAGCAUCAGGUACAGGAAGCUGUUGGCCCCUCUUGGCCGAAGGUACCUCGCGGUCGGCAUAGGUUAUUCAGUAAAAGUCUGACACUACCCGCUUUCUACCCCGAGGAAAUGGGUGCCUACGAGAACUCCCCCGCCAAACCAAAACAAAAGGUACAGAAGCAGAACAAAAAAGAUAGUGUGGUUAGUCCUUAAGACCACACAAAUUGAAGUUGAAGAACAACUGAAAGUGUUGUCGCAUAUCUUGCAAGCAGAAUAUGUCUAAUAUUAGACCGGGCAUUUCUUUGUUGUACAAAAUUUUAAACAUUUAGGAAAAGACUGUAACUGGGGUCUGUCCCACGAAAGAAAAUGAAAACCUGACAUCGGAAUUACAAGAUAAAUAAAGG
Long non-coding RNA from Trichoplusia ni (cabbage looper), 995 nucleotides. RefSeq lists it as uncharacterized. NCBI's taxonomy places the organism in Eukaryota, Metazoa, Arthropoda, Insecta, Lepidoptera, Noctuidae. The record is from RefSeq and is a predicted model, not a curated record. The transcript is spliced from 2 exons.